This 1213-nucleotide ribosomal RNA is filed under the name metagenome. Its description in RNAcentral is "bacterial SSU rRNA". It matches the Rfam family "Bacterial small subunit ribosomal RNA", at positions 275 to 1498 of the family's 1533-position model. The record is from RNAcentral.
GACGAUCAGUAGGGGUUCUGAGAGGAAGGUCCCCCACAUUGGAACUGAGACACGGUCCAAACUCCUACGGGAGGCAGCAGUGAGGAAUAUUGGUCAAUGGGCGAGAGCCUGAACCAGCCAAGUAGCGUGCAGGAUGACGGCCCUAUGGGUUGUAAACUGCUUUUAUAGGGGAAUAAAGUGAGCCACGUGUGGUUUUUUGCAUGUACCCUAUGAAUAAGGACCGGCUAAUUCCGUGCCAGCAGCCGCGGUAAUACGGAAGGUCCGGGCGUUAUCCGGAUUUAUUGGGUUUAAAGGGAGCGUAGGCCGGAGAUUAAGCGUGUUGUGAAAUGUAGAUGCUCAACAUCUGCACUGCAGCGCGAACUGGUUUCCUUGAGUACGCAUAAAGUGGGCGGAAUUCGUGGUGUAGCGGUGAAAUGCUUAGAUAUCGCGAAGAACUCCGAUUGCGAAGGCAGCUCACUGGGGCGCAACUGACGCUGAAGCUCGAAAGCGCGGGUAUCGAACAGGAUUAGAUACCCUGGUAGUCCGCGCGGUAAACGAUGGAUGCCCGCUGUUGGGCCAACUGGUUCAGCGGCCAAGCGAAAGCAUUAAGCAUCCCACCUGGGGAGUACGCCGGCAACGGUGAAACUCAAAGGAAUUGACGGGGGCCCGCACAAGCGGAGGAACAUGUGGUUUAAUUCGAUGAUACGCGAGGAACCUUACCCGGGCUCGAAUUGCAGAGGAAGGAUUUGGAGACAAUGACGCCCUUCGGGGCCUCUGUGAAGGUGCUGCAUGGUUGUCGUCAGCUCGUGCCGUGAGGUGUCGGCUUAAGUGCCAUAACGAGCGCAACCCCUCUUCAUAGUUGCCAUCAGGUGAAGCUGGGCACUCUGUGGACACUGCCACCGUAAGGUGCGAGGAAGGUGGGGAUGACGUCAAAUCAGCACGGCCCUUACGUCCGGGGCUACACACGUGUUACAAUGGCAGGUACAGAGAGCCGGUCGUAUGCAAAUACGAUCCAAUCCUUAAAGCCUGUCUCAGUUCGGACUGGGGUCUGCAACCCGACCCCACGAAGCUGGAUUCGCUAGUAAUCGCGCAUCAGCCAUGGCGCGGUGAAUACGUUCCCGGGCCUUGUACACACCGCCCGUCAAGCCAUGAAAGCCGGGGGCGCCUGAAGUCCGUGACCGCAAGGAGCGGCCUAGGGCGAAACUGGUAAUUGGGGCUAAGUCGUAACAAGGUA